This 1456-nucleotide ribosomal RNA is filed under the name human gut metagenome. RNAcentral's name for it is "bacterial LSU rRNA". It matches the Rfam family "Bacterial large subunit ribosomal RNA", at positions 524 to 1983 of the family's 2925-position model. The record is from RNAcentral.
CCUCGAACAGAGGAGUGAAAUAGUCCCUGAAACCGUCUGCCUACAAGCGGUCGGAGCAAUCUUUUGGUUGUGACGGCGUGCCUUUUGCAUAAUGAACCUACGAGUUACUUUCUCCGGCAAGGUUAAGGACUUCAGGUCCGGAGCCGAAGCGAAAGCGAGUCUUAAAAGGGCGUCAUAGUCGGAGUGAGUAGACGCGAAACCAAGUGAUCUACCCUUGGUCAGGAUGAAGGUUGGGUAACACCAACUGGAGGUCCGAAUGGGUAUACGUUGAAAAGUGUUCCAAUGAACUGAGGGUAGGGGUGAAAGGCUAAUCAAACUUGGAGAUAGCUCGUACUCCCCGAAAUGCAUUUAGGUGCAGCCUUUAUAUAGUAUAUAAUGAGGUAGAGCGACUGAUUGGAUGCGAGGGCUUCACCGCCUAUCAAGUCCAGAUAAACUCCGAAUGCGUUAUAUAUAUUUAUAAGGAGUGAGGGCGCGGGUGCUAAGGUCCGCGUCCGAGAGGAGAAGAAUCCAGACCAUCAGCUAAGGUCCCCAAAUAACAGUUAAGUUGAACUAACGAAGUCAGACUGCAGAGACAGCUAGGAUGUUGGCUUGGAAGCAGCCAUUCAUUUAAAGAGUGCGUAACAGCUCACUAGUCGAGGAGUCUGGCGUGGAUAAUAAUCGGGUAUUAAGUUGUCUACCGAAGCAGUGGGAUCAUUGAAAUGAUCGGUAGGGGAGCAUUCCAGUCAGCGUCGAAGGCGUACCGCGAGGUAUUCUGGAGCGUCUGGAAAAGCAAAUGUAGGUAUAAGUAACGAUAAAGGAGGUGAGAAACCUCCUCGCCGAAAGACUAAGGUUUCCUGAUCAACGUUAAUCGGAUCAGGGUAAGUCGGGACCUAAGGAUAAGCCGAACGGCGAUUCCGAUGGAAGAAUGGUUUAAUAUUCCCAUACUACUUUAUGGAGCGAUGUGGAGACGGAGAAGUGACAGUCCUGCCAUCUGACGGAAUAGAUGGUUAAAGGGUGUAGAUGUAGAUCGAAGUAGGCAAAUCCGCUUUGAGAGUCGAACCUGACAGUAUGCCGCGUACUUGUACAAGGCAAUAUGGACGUAAUCAGGCUCCCUAGAAAAUCCGCUAAGCAAAUUCAUAAAGUACCCGUACCGUAAACGGACACACGUAGUUGGGUUGAAAAUACUGAGGCGCUCGAGUGAUUCACGGUUAAGGAACUAGGCAAAUUGACCCUGUAACUUCGGGAUAAAGGGUCCCUGCAGAGAUGUGGGGCGCAGAGAAUAGGUCCAGGCAACUGUUUAACAAAAACACAUGGCUGUGCGAAAUAGAAAUAUGAAGUAUACAGCCUGACACCUGCCCGGUGCUGGAAGGUUAAGAGGAGAGCUUAUCGCAAGAGAAGGUUUGAAUUGAAGCCCCAGUAAACGGCGGCCGUAACUAUAACGGUCCUAAGGUAGCGAAAUUCCUUGUCGGGUAAGUUC